GAGGGAUGUAGGGGAGCACUCGACGGGCUUGGGUGAAACCCCGGGGGAGAUGAGGCCGGGGGUCAAUCAAGAAGUUGUCCAUGGCAACCAACAGUCUGUGGUGGAUGGGACUAACUCGACGAACGAUGAGAGGGAGUGGUGGGAUGCUUGCCUAAUAUUUAAAUCCAUGGGCGGUUCUUGCUCAGGCUGGGAGAUUCUACAGAGAAAUUUGGAGACCUUGUCCAACAUAGUGGGAGGGGGGAGGGAGGGGGGACCGGAUCAGUACAUCAGGUAGGCCUCCGAAUAGUGUGGACAUGAUCAAAGUGGGCUUGAACUAUAGGCAUGUUCAGAGCUUCAUCAUUGUUAUCAGUGGUAAGCUUCAUGAUCAAUCCUUAGAUACUAGCGAGAGGUUUUUUGGUGUGCUCCAGAAGAUCAACAUGACUUUCUUUGCUCAGUUUCAUAAUCAAAUCAUUAGAGAGCAAUUAGACUGGCUGAGCAACUGGAUUAUGUUGAGGAAUCUAAUCCAUCUAACCAACAGGAGAUCCACGUGGCAGUUCAAGCU
This 541-nucleotide long non-coding RNA is filed under the name Setaria viridis. RNAcentral describes it as "long non-coding RNA (SVIR_LNC004394)". The record is from RNAcentral. Lineage: Eukaryota; Viridiplantae; Streptophyta; Magnoliopsida; Poales; Poaceae.